Molecule: small RNA, 182 nt
Filed under: Clostridiales bacterium
Lineage: Bacteria; Bacillati; Bacillota; Clostridia; Eubacteriales
Description: 6S RNA
Source: RNAcentral
ACAAAUCUGCGGUGUACGGAGUUCGGCAUAAAACGGAAUCCACAGUAUGAAAUCGGGAGCAGGUUAUUCGUGGCGAUAGGCAAGGUCUGAUUUUCGGAAAGUCCGAUGCGUCAAGAUGCAGCACCCACCUAGCAAAAGCUGGGUUCAUCUUUUUGCCGAGGUGCGGCACAGGCGGAUUUCAU